GGAUUGUAGCUCAGUGGUAGAACACUUGCCUAGCAUGUAUGAAACACUGGGUUUGAUUCUCAGCACCG
Molecule: transfer RNA, 68 nt
Filed under: Marmota monax (woodchuck)
Lineage: Eukaryota; Metazoa; Chordata; Mammalia; Rodentia; Sciuridae
Description: tRNA.Ala
Source: RNAcentral